AAAAAAAAGAUAGAGAAAAACUUGGAAGGAAUGUGGAAUCAGAGGAAAUGAGGCUUUUUGUCGACUCAUCACAUACAAAAAGCUUAAUACAGUAGUAAUUAAUUCUAUGGAGAUUUCUUUUUUGCUCUCUGUGGCUUUUUGUUUUUUAAUAAUUUCCCCUUGAGCCUUAUCCCUUGGUGCAAAUGGAAAGCAGUCAAAUUUUUUUUCCUGUGUUUUGGCAUUUUGCAGGAUAAACAGGCCCACCAUCAACUACUCUAGUAUAAAACAUUAGCUCCAUAACCCCCCAUUUAUAUAUAUGCAAAACCCACCAAGCUCAUUCUGGUUUUUCUCAAACUUCUGUUGCCAAUUUUGGAGAACAUGAAGCCACAGCAUCUGCAACUGUAAGGAAGAUUUUGUCCUCGCCAAUUGUAUUUGCAAAAUUGGACGCAUGGAGCUUGUCAAUCACCACAGGACCAGGAUUUGCCAGAAUAAGCUGAACAUCCUUCUUCUGGAGGCUCUUGUAUAACUCUUCCAAGGCAUGGAUGCCACUGGUGUCAAUGUCAGUAACAGCUGUAGAAAAGUUCAAAAACAUUAGGAAAGAAACGAACAACCUAAAGGGUGCUUCAUCGUUCAACAAAUAAAAUCAACUUACGAGACAUCUCCACUAUCAAAAACUGGAUUUUCGGUUGGUAUGAUGCUUUUAACUGUUCUUCCUCAUCUGUCAACCAUCUCAGUAUCCUGCAAGAAAUUUGAUUUUUAUCCUUUCCAAAAUUACUGCAAAAAUUGACCCAUAUAUCAGUAAGUUAUGUUAAUUUUUUCAAUUGCCAAUCAUUCUUGGGCACUUUGUCAAAACAAGUCUUUAUAUACAAUGGAGUUAAGUUACCAACUAUAGAUUUUAAGCUCUAGGAUUGUUUAAACAAUAUAUAGGAUUCCACAUAAAUCACACAGCUAAGACAAAAAGAUGUCUUUACCUCUCUCUAACAUAAUUGGAAUUUGAAAAGUAAAUUGCCGAAUCAACUCUCACAAUCAAAACACCCUGAACCAUGGUUGCUCCUGGAUACUGUUGAAUGUUUCUGUACACAGUUGUCCCAGGUAGCUUCCCAAGAAUAGCAGUCCGGGGCCUGGUAACUUGUAGGAGAAUUUUGGCGAAGGAUAUUGAGACCGCAAUCAAGAGGCCUUUCUCCACAGAUGAAAAAACUACACCAAAGAAGGCUCCCAUGCAAGCAAUGAAAUCAAAUUUAUCUAUCUUCCAUAUCAAAAUUGCUGCCUCAAAAUCAAUUAGGCCAACGACAGCAGAUAUAAUAAUGGCAGCAAGAAUAGCGUUUGGGGUAUACUUGAAAAGCGGUGUGAUAAAUUGCAAGGUGAGAAAUACAACACAAGACAUAACAAUGUUGGAGAAAGCAGUUUGGCAGCCAGCCAUGUAAUUCACAGCUGAACGAGAAAAUGAACCUGUUGCCACAUAGCAAGAAGUCAUCGAACCAACAAUAUUCAUGGUUCCUAGUGCUACCAUUUCUUUGUUUCCAUCUAGUUGAUAGUCCUUCAUGGCAGCAAAUGUUCUUCCAAUUGCUAUGGCUUCCGUUAAUGCUAUCAUUCCAGCCACAACUCCAAUCUUAAAACCUUUUGAAAGGUAGUGACCACUGAAAUAUAUUUCCUUCACAGAGGAGGGAUUUAUUCCUUUCUCUAUGUGUUUCACAAUUUGAACCCCUUGCUUAUCUGCACGGGUUAUAAACACAAAAAAAGUUGACAUAAUAACAGAUAUCAGUGGCGCAAUUGCAGGCACCCAGAAGAGUUUCUUGUUCUUUUUUCCAAUGUACUUGGCAAAUAGGAGGAAAGCUAAAAAGCUCACACCAAUAACUAUAGUCUGCCAGUUCCAUCCAUGAUGGGCUGAGACAAACACUGAGUGCAAUACGGAAACUAUAUCAGUUUUCUUUGUGAAAUCUUUUAUUCCAAGAAGAAGCUUAAGCUGCUGGAGUGCAAUUGUGAUGGCAGCUCCACCCAUGAAACCAACAACAGCAGCAUGUGAUAAGAAGUCAAUCAAGAAGCCCAACCUGAAAAAUCCAAGGGUUGCUUGGGUGAUUCCUGCAAAAAAGGUAGCUGUGAAUGCUAGCCUCCGAUAUGUUUCUGCAUCCUUUUUGGAAUCAACUUCAUUCUCAAGCAGAGUCCCCAUCAAGAGAGAAACCACAGCUACUGGUCCUAUUGCUAUAUCUCUAGAACUACCCAUGAAAGCAUAUAUCAAUGGUGGAACAAAGCUGGUGUACAAUCCAUACUGAGGGUCCAAAUUUGCAAGUUUUGCAUACCCAAUAUCCUGAGGAAUGCAG
RNAcentral lists this unclassified non-coding RNA (2297 nucleotides) under Hevea brasiliensis (rubber tree). The record is from RNAcentral. Lineage: Eukaryota; Viridiplantae; Streptophyta; Magnoliopsida; Malpighiales; Euphorbiaceae.